This 84-nucleotide transfer RNA is filed under the name Psilocybe cubensis. RNAcentral describes it as "tRNA-Ala". It matches the Rfam family "tRNA". From Rfam's summary of the family: Transfer RNA (tRNA) molecules are approximately 80 nucleotides in length. Their secondary structure includes four short double-helical elements and three loops (D, anti-codon, and T loops). Further hydrogen bonds mediate the characteristic L-shaped molecular structure. tRNAs have two regions of fundamental functional importance: the anti-codon, which is responsible for specific mRNA codon recognition, and the 3' end, to which the tRNAs corresponding amino acid is attached (by aminoacyl-tRNA synthetases). tRNAs cope with the degeneracy of the genetic code in two manners: having more than one tRNA (with a specific anti-codon) for a particular amino acid; and 'wobble' base-pairing, i.e. permitting non-standard base-pairing at the 3rd anti-codon position. The record is from RNAcentral. Lineage: Eukaryota; Fungi; Basidiomycota; Agaricomycetes; Agaricales; Agrocybaceae.
GGGCACAUGGUGUAGUUGGUUAUCACGCUCGCUUAGCAUUACAUGGUAUGCGAGAGGUGUUGGGUUCAAUUCCCAAUGCGUCCA